GUUCGCCGCCCGUGACUCGGCGAGAAGUCCAUUGAACCUUAUCAUUUAGAGGAAGGAGAAGUCGUAACAAGGUUUCCGUAGGUGAACCUGCGGAAGGAUCAUUG
This 104-nucleotide ribosomal RNA is filed under the name Telipogon pogonostalix. RNAcentral's name for it is "partial 18S ribosomal RNA". It matches the Rfam family "Eukaryotic small subunit ribosomal RNA", at positions 1728 to 1831 of the family's 1831-position model. Lineage: Eukaryota; Viridiplantae; Streptophyta; Magnoliopsida; Asparagales; Orchidaceae. RNAcentral also lists the same sequence under 7 other names. The record is from RNAcentral.